GCUCGCAAGAGUGAACGAGCUAACUGAAGGAACAUUUUUCUAACGGAUUGAUCCCUAACUAGGGCAAUUAUACAACAAUCCUAAUAGUGUCGUCCAAAAUCUGGUGCCAGAAGACUCGGUAAUACCAGAGACGCGAACGUUAAUCAUCUUAAAUGGGCAUAAAGGGUUUGUAGGCAGCUUUAAUAAAAAUAAAGAUAGAAUCUAAUAGAGGUUAAGAUAAUACUUAGAGUAGGGCUCAAAUUCUCAAAUACUAAGGGGAAUACUAGAUGCGAAGGCUCUUUUCCUUAAAAGAUUGACGCUGAGACACGAAGGUGCGGGUAGGAAAUAGGAUUAGAGACCCUGGUACUCCACACUGUAAACGAUGAAUGGAAGGUAUUUAUACGAUAUAUAAGUGCCGAAGUGAACAACAAUAACCAUUCCGCCUUGCUAGUAUACUUGCAAAAGUGAAAACAAAAAAAUUAGUCGGUCCUAGAGCAAACG
This 480-nucleotide ribosomal RNA is filed under the name Sistotrema adnatum. Its description in RNAcentral is "partial small subunit ribosomal RNA". It matches the Rfam family "Bacterial small subunit ribosomal RNA", at positions 373 to 931 of the family's 1533-position model. Lineage: Eukaryota; Fungi; Basidiomycota; Agaricomycetes; Cantharellales; Hydnaceae. The record is from RNAcentral.